RNAcentral lists this ribosomal RNA (459 nucleotides) under uncultured bacterium. RNAcentral describes it as "partial 16S ribosomal RNA". It matches the Rfam family "Bacterial small subunit ribosomal RNA", at positions 338 to 795 of the family's 1533-position model. The record is from RNAcentral.
CCUACGGGAGGCAGCAGUGAGGAAUAUUGGUCAAUGGCCGCAGGGCUGAACCAGCCAAGUCGCGUGAGGGAUGACGGUCCUAUGGAUUGUAAACCUCUUUUGUCAGGGAGCAAAGGGCGCCACGUGUGGCGCUUUGCGAGUACCUGAAGAAAAAGCAUUGGCUAACUCCGUGCCAGCAGCCGCGGUAAUACGGAGGAUGCGAGCGUUAUCCGGAUUUAUUGGGUGUAAAGGGUGCGCAGGCGGAAUGUCAAGUCAGCGGUAAAAUUUCGGGGCUCAACCCCGUCGUGCCGUUGAAACUGGCGUUCUUGAGUGAGCGAGAAGUAUGCGGAAUGCGUGGUGUAGCGGUGAAAUGCAUAGAUAUCACGCAGAACUCCGAUUGCGAAGGCAGCAUACCGGCGCUCAACUGACGCUCAUGCACGAAAGCGUGGGUAUCGAACAGGAUUAGAUACCCGGGUAGUC